AGGAAAGAUCAAUGCAGUGGCAAUUACAAGUUGCGAUUCCGUGGUGCCUCCAAGUGUUGUUCCUUGUGAUCGUGUACCAACUAAGGAACAGCAGCAUUCUUACAGGAAAGUGAUAGGUGUGGUGUCCUUCUUUGUCGAUAAGACUCGUCGAGCACAUACAUGCCCAUGGGCUCGAGCUGGUCGAGGGAUUUGACUAGAAGCACACAUAGUGGCAUGGCCUGCAGCCUUUUGUUCUUCCAC
This 240-nucleotide long non-coding RNA is filed under the name Musa acuminata (dwarf banana). RNAcentral describes it as "long non-coding RNA (MACU_LNC006028)". The record is from RNAcentral. Lineage: Eukaryota; Viridiplantae; Streptophyta; Magnoliopsida; Zingiberales; Musaceae.